CUGGGGAGCCUGCAUGGGACCGCACUAGGCCCUCUGAAUGCUGCAGGAAGGAGUCCAGUUCUCACAACUUACCUAAUGGAUCUUCAGAUCUAGCGGCCACCACACCCCUGCGAGCCCACCUGAGGAACUCAGGGCCUUUCCUCCACGUCUCUUCUCCCUGGAUGGCCUAAAGGCAAGAGUUUACUCAUUCUGCUGAUUAAGGCGAUAGAACAAGAAGAGGAGAAUAUUUCGGGGCAUAAAAUGGCCAAAAGGAUUAAACACAACCUAGAGGUCAAGGGAAAUGGAAGAUGGAAAAGAGCCGUUGGCUUUCGAGUCUGAGAAACCCGGUAAAGAAAAUGGAGCCAAGCUGGCGGUCCGGAGGAAGACGAAGGGAGCACUGGGCUGCUGGCGGGAAAGGUGAGGAAGAGUGACCGUCUGAGAUGGGAUAUCCAAGACUAAGGUAAAGUGGUGCUGAGAUCCAUGGCUGCAGGUUCAACCAAGUUUAAUAGGAAAACAACUUUGUCUGUGCUGAAUAUGCUCAGACAGUUCUCAUGUCCUUCCCUGGAUAAUAUAGGGCAUUUCUCGUAUUGCAAGAAAUUUAGAGGUGUCUUAGAGUAUUCAGGUGGCUAUAUGUGUAUAUGCAAACACCACACACCAGUUUAUGUUGGGUACUUGAGCAUCUGCAGAUCUUGGCAUCCUUCAGGGUUCCUGGAACCAACAUCCCUAGGAUUUGAAGAGAUGGCUGUAUGUGUCCUAUUUCCUGUGCCAGCUGGUGAAUUUGGAGAGACUAGGGACUGAUAUAUACCAUGUGCCCCUCAGAACUCAUUGCAUGGCAGAGGCUCUGGUCUUGGGCCUUUCCUUUUAUUGUACAUGUUAUCAUAAUGUAUUAAAGGAUGCUUGGAUCAUGUGAACUCUUUUUAGUACCAAUCACAUGAAAAAAUGUGUUCAUUCUGCGUGAUUCUUUAUUGUAUCAAUCUUGAGAACUCAAAGGGGGGAAAAGAAAUUUCUCAUCUAAAUACUCCUAAAAUUACUUCACUCUUUCCUUCUUUUUUCUAGGUUUUAACCUAGUCAGUAUUUAAUUUUAAUUGGUUAUAAUGAGCAUAAAAUAAAUUGUUAUUCUACUUGCCAGAUCACUGCCUUUUGGAGUGAAAUGAAGAAUCAAAUAGAUAUUUUCUGUGUUCCUUUGUGUUUUGUCUUCUUUGCCAUCUUCUUCCUCUUUUUUCUUCUUUUUCUCCACCACCCCUUUCCCAACUUCCUUUUUCUCCAGUGCUGGGGAUCCAACUCUGGGCUUUGCAUACAGAGGGCAGGGUUCCCACUGAGAUAGGGCCCCGGGCUUCUUUAGCAUUUCCUAGUGGUUCCAUAGCUCAUAGGUCUGUCAUCUUUAAUUGUUCUCCUGUAGUUGAACAUAUGGACUUUUUACCUUUUCAGCAUUCCAAGGUAUGUGGGAGUGAAUCUUUCACAUAUAAUUAAAGAAAUGAUUUCCUAAAGGUAAAUUUCUAAAGUAAGAAAUGGGUUUAAAAUUCAAACUCUUAAUAUAUGUGCAGUAAGAUCCUUUCGAACUGUCACACAGUGCAUUUAUUUUGUUACUUUAGCAAAAUUUUGUCCUAAAAAUCUAUUUUUAACCAAGGAAUACACUUAGUCUAUGUUAAUAAGCUGUCAGGUACUAGGAGAGUCAUGUGAUAAUGGGGAAAGAAUGCAGACCUGGCAUUAAGGAGGUCCAGGUUUACUCUAAAGUGGGGGAGCAACUGUGUGAAUAUAUUCAAGUCACUGAAUGUUUUUUCUAGCCUUAGAAUUGUGUGGAUGUGUUUAUCAAAAUGAUAGUUAAUAUCUCUUUCCAUGAGAUGAUUUCUCUUCCCAGUCAUCUGUGCUGGCUAGCUUAAUGUCAACUUGAUACAAGCUACAUCUGAGAGGAGGGAACCUCAAUUGAGAAAAUGCCUCCAUAAGAUCCAGCCGUAAGCAGAAAAGCCUAUAGGACAUUCUCUUAAUUAGGGAUUGAUGGGAGGACGGAGCCCUUUGUGAGUGGUGCCAUCCCUGGGCUGGUGGUGCUGGAGUCAAUAAGAAUGUAGGCUGGGCAAAUCAGUAAGCAGCACCCCUCAAUGGCCUCUGCAUCAGGUCCUGCC
Molecule: long non-coding RNA, 2099 nt
Organism: Peromyscus leucopus (white-footed mouse)
Lineage: Eukaryota; Metazoa; Chordata; Mammalia; Rodentia; Cricetidae
Exons: 3
Source: RefSeq, a predicted model, not a curated record